GAAGAGAGUCGUACAAGGUUUCCGUAGGUGAACCUGCGGAAGGAUCAUUC
Molecule: ribosomal RNA, 50 nt
Filed under: Toxoplasma gondii
Lineage: Eukaryota; Apicomplexa; Conoidasida; Eucoccidiorida; Sarcocystidae
Description: partial 18S ribosomal RNA
Source: RNAcentral